RNAcentral lists this ribosomal RNA (251 nucleotides) under uncultured soil bacterium. Its description in RNAcentral is "partial 16S ribosomal RNA". It matches the Rfam family "Bacterial small subunit ribosomal RNA", at positions 26 to 286 of the family's 1533-position model. The record is from RNAcentral.
AGGACGAACGCUGGCGGCGUGCUUAACACAUGCAAGUCGAGGGGGCCCAGCAAUGGGUCACCGGCGAACGGGUGCGUAACACGUGAGCAACCUGCCGCAGAGUGGGGGAUAGCCGGCCCAACGGCCGGGUAAUACCGCAUACGAUCUCGUGGGGACAUCCCCGGGAGAUGAAAGAUUUAUCGCUCUGCGAGGGGCUCGCGGCCUAUCAGCUAGUUGGCGAGGUAACGGCUCACCAAGGCGACGACGGGUAG